AUGGAUUUAAACCCAUCGGUGACCUGCUGGAACGUCCGUAGCCUGAACAAUUCGGCAAAGCGAAAGGCGGUGAAGGAGUUCUUGGCCUCGUGCAGGCCUAACUUAGUGUGUUUGCAAGAAACGAAACUCGAUGUGGUAGAUGACUUCUUAUUAAUGCAAUGUUGUAGCCCGUCGUUGGACGGUUAUGCUUAUUUACCGCCGGAGGAGACGAGAGGAGGCAUUAUUUUGGCUUGGGACACCAUGGUAAUGCAGGUUGAUCACAUCCGGAGGGGCGCUAACUUUCUUAGCGGGUUGGUGCACCCCCAGGGGGGGCAACUAGUGGAUAUCAGUGGUUGGACCACAAGGCAACGAGGCCAAGAUGAAAUUCCUGGAUGA
Molecule: ribosomal RNA, 375 nt
Filed under: Triticum aestivum (bread wheat)
Lineage: Eukaryota; Viridiplantae; Streptophyta; Magnoliopsida; Poales; Poaceae
Description: partial small subunit ribosomal RNA
Source: RNAcentral